RNAcentral lists this long non-coding RNA (354 nucleotides) under Elaeis guineensis (African oil palm). RNAcentral's name for it is "long non-coding RNA (EGUI_LNC011514)". The record is from RNAcentral. Lineage: Eukaryota; Viridiplantae; Streptophyta; Magnoliopsida; Arecales; Arecaceae.
UCCAUUAGGCUUUCUUAUCCUCCUCGAUGUGUAUAUUUGAUUACCGAAUGACUAAUUUUUUAGAUGUAUAUUAUUGCUACGAAGCUCUAAAUCGAUGUGGUUGAGAUCGAUCUCCUUCUGAACACAGAUCUGGGGGUAGACUAGAGCACCUUUGCCUUGAAGCAUUUAAAAAAGAAGUCCGCACUCAUCGGAGAUUUUUUGGUAGGGAGACUCUUCGAUGUUUAAGUUAGUCAGACUUAGAAAUAAUAAAAAUUAAAAGAGAGAGAGAGAGAGUAAGAAUUUUUUUCUCCGGAGAAUAGACUUGAACAGACUUACCUAAGGGGUCUUUUUCUCCUACUUUAUAUAAAGGGGGAG